CCUACGGGUGGCUGCAGUGGGGAAUAUUGCACAAUGGGGGAAACCCUGAUGCAGCAACGCCGCGUGAGUGAAGAAGGAUUUCGGUAUGUAAAGCUCUAUCAGCAGGGAAGUGAAUGACGGUACCUGACUAAGAAGCCCCGGCUAACUACGUGCCAGCAGCCGCGGUAAUACGUAGGGGGCGAGCGUUAUCCGGAUUUACUGGGGGUAAAGGGAGCGUAGACGGUUUUGCAAGUCAGAAGUGAAAGCCCGUGGCUUAACCGCGGAAUGGCUUUGGAAACUGUGGAACUUGAGUGCUGGUGAGGCAAGCGGAAUUCGUGGUGUAGCGGUGAAAUGCGUAGAUAUUAGGAGGAACACCAGUGGCGAAGGCAGCUUGCUGGACAGUAACUGACGUUGAGGCUCGAAAGUGUGGGGAGCAAACAGGAUUAGAUACCCGUGUAGUC
RNAcentral lists this ribosomal RNA (440 nucleotides) under uncultured bacterium. RNAcentral's name for it is "partial 16S ribosomal RNA". It matches the Rfam family "Bacterial small subunit ribosomal RNA", at positions 338 to 795 of the family's 1533-position model. The record is from RNAcentral.